Molecule: small nuclear RNA, 63 nt
Filed under: Mus spicilegus (steppe mouse)
Lineage: Eukaryota; Metazoa; Chordata; Mammalia; Rodentia; Muridae
Description: U7 small nuclear RNA (ENSMSIG00000002857.1)
Source: RNAcentral
AAUUUCCAUAGCUCUUUUAGAACUUUUUAAAACAGGAUUUCUGACCUUGGUUAGAAAUCCCAA